UGGCAAGCGUUGUCCGGAUUUAUUGGGCGUAAAGCGAGUGCAGGCGGGUCAAUAAGUCCGAUGUGAAAGCCCCCGGCUUAACCGAGGAAAUGCAUCGGAAACUGUUGAACUUGAGUGCAGAAGAGGAGAGUGGAACUCCAUGUGUAGCGGUGGAAUGCGUAGAUAUAUGGAAGAACACCAGUGGCGAAGGCGGCUCUCUGGUCUGCAACUGACGCUGAGGCUCGAAAGCAUGGGUAGCGAACA
Molecule: ribosomal RNA, 243 nt
Filed under: uncultured bacterium
Lineage: Bacteria
Description: partial 16S ribosomal RNA
Rfam family: Bacterial small subunit ribosomal RNA
Source: RNAcentral